UGUGCCUCAUGGAGCUGUCGUAAGGAAUCAGUUGAUUAAUGUAUAUAAACUGCUUGUGUUCUGUUGCUGCUUCUUUUACCAUUUCAUCUCCCCUAAAGUUUUUUUCAUAGUUCUUACAUCCUUCUCAUUUCUUCAAAGUGAGAAUUCUACGCUCCAGCAAUAGCAGAGAUAGAUGACACAAAUGACAUUCGCCCGCCCAUGGCUGCCCAUGGACCAAUUGGCAUGUGCUUCCUUCCCUCUGAGGCCCAUAGAAGCCCUGGACUCAAUCUGACUCAAGGAGAUGAUGGGACUACAAGCUGCGGAAAGGAGCUACCCACUCCAAGGUCUCUGCUGAGAGCUGAACACUCAUCAAGACACCCUGCCUGCAGGGAGGAGUUACCCAAUGCAGGUCUCCUCUGAGCUGUUCCAUUGCUCAAUAAAACUCCUCUUUGCCUUGCUCACCCUCCACUUGUCCGUCUACCUCAUUCUUCCUGGACACAGGACAAGAACUCGGGACCUGCAAAAGGGCUGUAACACAAACAGGGCUGAAACACAUCCCUUGCUCGCCAUAUUGUAGGUGACAAGAAGGAGAGACAAGAGAAGGAGAGAAGAGCUGCAGCCCUUCUGGGAGCCCAGGCCUAGGAGAUCCCUGAGCCAGGGCUAUGACACCCUCUUUGGGGCUCUAUGGUUCCUGGUGUCUCCAAGCUUCCGGAUGCCACUGCAUUCCUCAGUGCCAGCCGUGGAAGCUGCUGUGGUACAUUUGGUCCAGCCACAGCCUUGCAGGGAGCUGGCUCCCAUGCUGGUGCCUAUAGCUCCCCGCCCCACCACAGCCAGCUUGCCUGGCCAUGCACAGUGGCCAGACCUCAUGCUCACUCAUGCACCCUUCGCCACUCCGCACCUGGCCCGCCCUUGGCAGGUAUGGGAUUCAGGGAUCCAGCCCCAGCCGAUUGCAGCCUGCCAGGCCGAGUGGGUGGAAUGAGACCUGUGGGCCCAAGCAAAACUCAGGCAAAGGCACCACUGGCCACAUAGGUUUCCAGCUGGUGAAGUGACACCCUGAGAAUCCCAUGACAUUAUCAUACACUCUUCUUAAAAACUGAACCCGAGGGAAAAAAUGAUACCCUUGAACGGUGAGGCAUAA
This 1117-nucleotide long non-coding RNA is filed under the name Homo sapiens (human). RNAcentral describes it as "non-protein coding LINC02433:10". The record is from RNAcentral. Lineage: Eukaryota; Metazoa; Chordata; Mammalia; Primates; Hominidae.